AAUCCAUAGGUUAAUGAGGCGAACCGGGGGAACUGAAACAUCUAAGUACCCCGAGGAAAAGAAAUCAACCGAGAUUCCCCCAGUAGCGGCGAGCGAACGGGGAGGAGCCCAGAGCCUGAAUCAGCAUGUGUGUUAGUGGAAGCGUCUGGAAAGGCGCGCGAUACAGGGUGACAGCCCCGUACACAAAAGCGCAUGUGCUGUGAGCUCGAUGAGUAGGGCGGGACACGUGGUAUCCUGUCUGAAUAUGGGGGGACCAUCCUCCAAGGCUAAAUACUCCUGACUGACCGAUAGUGAACCAGUACCGUGAGGGAAAGGCGAAAAGAACCCCGGCGAGGGGAGUGAAAAAGAACCUGAAACCGUGUACGUACAAGCAGUGGGAGCACAGGUUUACCUGUGUGACUGCGUACCUUUUGUAUAAUGGGUCAGCGACUUAUAUUCUGUAGCAAGGUUAACCGAAUAGGGGAGCCGGAGGGAAACCGAGUCUUAACCGGGCGUUAAGUUGCAGGGUAUAGACCCGAAACCCGGUGAUCUAGCCAUGGGCAGGUUGAAGGUUGGGUAACACUAACUGGAGGACCGAACCGACUAAUGUUGAAAAAUUAGCGGAUGACCUGUGGCUGGGGGUGAAAGGCCAAUCAAACCGGGAGAUAGCUGGUUCUCCCCGAAAGCUAUUUAGGUAGCGCCUCGUGAAUUCAUCUCCGGGGGUAGAGCACUGUUUCGGCUAGGGGGCCAUCCCGGCUUACCAACCCGAUGCAAACUGCGAAUACCGGAGAAUGUUAUCACGGGAGACACACGGCGGGUGCUAACGUCCGUCGUGAAGAGGGAAACAACCCAGACCGCCAGCUAAGGUCCCAAAGUCAUGGUUAAGUGGGAAACGAUGUGGGAAGGCCCAGACAGCCAGGAUGUUGGCUUAGAAGCAGCCAUCAUUUAAAGAAAGCGUAAUAGCUCACUGGUCGAGUCGGCCUGCGCGGAAGAUGUAACGGGGCUAAACCAUGCACCGAAGCUGCGGCAGCGACGCUGAUGCGUUGUUGGGUAGGGGAGCGUUCUGUAAGCCUGCGAAGGUGGCCUGUGAGGGUUGCUGGAGGUAUCAGAAGUGCGAAUGCUGACAUAAGUAACGAUAAAGCGGGUGAAAAGCCCGCUCGCCGGAAGACCAAGGGUUCCUGUCCAACGUUAAUCGGGGCAGGGUGAGUCGACCCCUAAGGCGAGGCCGAAAGGCGUAGUCGAUGGGAAACGGGUUAAUAUUCCCGUACUUGGUGUUACUGCGAAGGGGGGACGGAGAAGGCUAUGUUGGCCGGGCGACGGUU
This 1301-nucleotide ribosomal RNA is filed under the name Salmonella enterica. RNAcentral describes it as "bacterial LSU rRNA". It matches the Rfam family "Bacterial large subunit ribosomal RNA", at positions 161 to 1503 of the family's 2925-position model. Lineage: Bacteria; Pseudomonadati; Pseudomonadota; Gammaproteobacteria; Enterobacterales; Enterobacteriaceae. RNAcentral also lists the same sequence under 1 other name. The record is from RNAcentral.